Molecule: ribosomal RNA, 328 nt
Filed under: uncultured eukaryote
Lineage: Eukaryota
Description: partial 18S ribosomal RNA
Rfam family: Eukaryotic small subunit ribosomal RNA
Source: RNAcentral
CCCUUAGAUGUUCUGGGCCGCGCGCGCGCUACACUGAUACGUUCAGCGAGUAUAUAACCUUGAUUGGAAAAUCUGGGUAAUCUUUUGAAUGCGUAUCGUGCUAGGGAUAGAUUAUUGCAAUUAUUAAUCUUGAACGAGGAAUUCCUAGUAAACGCAAGUCAUCAGCUUGCAUUGAUUACGUCCCUGCCCUUUGUACACACCGCCUGUCGCACAAACCGAUUGAAUGAUUCGGUGAAAAUUUUGGACAUCGAGAGUGGUGAUUAAUUUCGCUGCUCUUAAAUGGAAAGAAUUUAAACCUAAUUAUUUAGAGGAUUGUGAAGUCAUAACA